UACGUAGGGGGGCAAGCGUUGUCCGGAUUUAUUGGGCGUAAAGAGCGUGUAGGCGGCCAUACAGGUCCGUUGUGAAAACUGGAGGCUUAACCUCCAGACGUCGAUGGAAACCGUAUGGCUAGAGUCCGGAAGAGGAGAGUGGAAUUCCUGGUGUAGCGGUGAAAUGCGCAGAUAUCAGGAAGAACACCCGUGGCGAAGGCGGCUCUCUGGGACGGUACUGACGCUGAGACGCGAAAGCGUGGGGAGCGAACAGG
RNAcentral lists this ribosomal RNA (254 nucleotides) under uncultured bacterium. RNAcentral's name for it is "partial 16S ribosomal RNA". It matches the Rfam family "Bacterial small subunit ribosomal RNA", at positions 524 to 776 of the family's 1533-position model. The record is from RNAcentral.